This 118-nucleotide transfer RNA is filed under the name Paramagnetospirillum kuznetsovii. Its description in RNAcentral is "Magnetospirillum sp. LBB-42 tRNA-Sec". It matches the Rfam family "tRNA". From Rfam's summary of the family: Transfer RNA (tRNA) molecules are approximately 80 nucleotides in length. Their secondary structure includes four short double-helical elements and three loops (D, anti-codon, and T loops). Further hydrogen bonds mediate the characteristic L-shaped molecular structure. tRNAs have two regions of fundamental functional importance: the anti-codon, which is responsible for specific mRNA codon recognition, and the 3' end, to which the tRNAs corresponding amino acid is attached (by aminoacyl-tRNA synthetases). tRNAs cope with the degeneracy of the genetic code in two manners: having more than one tRNA (with a specific anti-codon) for a particular amino acid; and 'wobble' base-pairing, i.e. permitting non-standard base-pairing at the 3rd anti-codon position. The record is from RNAcentral. Lineage: Bacteria; Pseudomonadati; Pseudomonadota; Alphaproteobacteria; Rhodospirillales; Magnetospirillaceae.
GGGCGCGUAGCUCAAUGGUUAGAGCCGGCCGGCUCAGUUACAGCCUCCGGCAAGACGACUGCUACUUUCAGCAGUCAUGACGGUCUGGUUGCAAGUUCGAAUCCUGCCGCGCCCACCA